UCCGAGUUGACCCCGGCAGUAUCCCAUGAGUUCCCACCAUUACGUGCUGGCAACAUAGGACGAGGGUUGCGCUCGUUGCGGGACUUAACCCAACAUCUCACGACACGAGCUGACGACAACCAUGCACCACCUGUAUAGAGACCUUGCGGGGCGACUGUUUCCAGCCGUUUCCUCUACAUGUCAAGCCUUGGUAAGGUUCUUCGCGUUGCAUCGAAUUAAUCCGCAUGCUCCGCCGCUUGUGCGGGCCCCCGUCAAUUCCUUUGAGUUUUAGCCUUGCGGCCGUACUCCCCAGGCGGGGAACUUAAUGCGUUAGCUGCGACACGGAGACCGUGGAAUGGCCCCCACAUCUAGUUCCCAACGUUUACGGCAUGGACUAC
Molecule: unclassified non-coding RNA, 377 nt
Filed under: uncultured Microbacteriaceae bacterium
Lineage: Bacteria; Bacillati; Actinomycetota; Actinomycetes; Micrococcales; Microbacteriaceae
Description: contains 16S-23S intergenic spacer region
Source: RNAcentral